This 332-nucleotide ribosomal RNA is filed under the name uncultured Synergistaceae bacterium. Its description in RNAcentral is "bacterial SSU rRNA". It matches the Rfam family "Bacterial small subunit ribosomal RNA", at positions 1049 to 1382 of the family's 1533-position model. Lineage: Bacteria; Thermotogati; Synergistota; Synergistia; Synergistales; Synergistaceae. The record is from RNAcentral.
CUGUCGUCAGCUCGUGUCGUGAGAUGUUGGGUUAAGUCCGCAACGAGCGCAACCCUGCAUUCAGUUGCCAUCGGGUAAUGCCGGGCACUCUGGAAGGACUGCCAUCGACAAGAUGGAGAAGGUGGGGAUGACGUCAAGUCAUCAUGGCCCUUAUGUCCAGGGCGACACACGUGCUACAAUGGCCGGCACAACGGGAAGCGAGUUCGCGAGGACAAGCGGAUCCCUUAAAGCCGGUCGCAGUUCGGAUUGAAGUCUGCAACUCGACUUCAUGAAGCUGGAAUCGCUAGUAAUCGUGGAUCAGCCAAGCCGCGGUGAAUACGUUCCCGGGCCUU